GAUGAACGCUGGCGGCGUGCCUAAUACAUGCAAGUCGAGCGAACAGACCAUGAGCUUGCUGCUUUGACGUUAGCGGCGGACGGGUGAGUAACACGUGGAUAACCUACCUAUAAGACUGGUAUAACUUCGGGAAACCGGCGCUAAUACCGGAUAAUAUUUUGAACCGCAUUGUUCGAAAGUAAAAGACGGUGUUGCUGUCACUUAUCGCUGCAUCCGCGCUGUAUUAGCUAGUUGGUAAGGUAACGGCUUACCAAGGCAACGAUGCGUAGCCGAACUGAGAGGGUGAUCGGCCACACUGGAACUGAGACACGGACCAGACUCCUAAGGGAGGCAGCAGUAGGGAAUCGUCCGCAAUGGGCGAAAGCCUGACGGAGCAACGCCGCGUGAGUGAUGAAGGUCUUCGGAUCGGAAAACUCUGUUAUUAGGGAAGAACAGAUGUGGAAGGAACUGUGCACUUCUUGACGGUACCUAAUCAGAAAGCCACGGCUAACUACGUG
Molecule: ribosomal RNA, 497 nt
Filed under: uncultured bacterium
Lineage: Bacteria
Description: partial 16S ribosomal RNA
Rfam family: Bacterial small subunit ribosomal RNA
Source: RNAcentral